This 292-nucleotide ribosomal RNA is filed under the name uncultured bacterium. Its description in RNAcentral is "partial 16S ribosomal RNA". It matches the Rfam family "Bacterial small subunit ribosomal RNA", at positions 505 to 796 of the family's 1533-position model. The record is from RNAcentral.
GUGCCAGCCGCCGCGGUAACACGUAGGAGGCAAGCGUUAUCCGGAUUUACUGGGCGUAAAGGGCGUGCAGGUGGUUUUGCAAGUGGUGCGUGAAAGCGCUCGGCUCAACCGGGCGAGGGCGUGCCAAACUGCGAGACUAGAAACAGGCAGAGGAAAGUGGAAUUCGGGGUGUAGUGGUGAAAUGCGUAGAGAUCCCGAGGAACUCCAGUGGCGAAGGCGACUUUCUGGGCCUGCUUUGACACUCAGACGCGAAAGCAUGGGGAGCGAACGGGAUUAGAAACCCGCGUAGUCC